Molecule: ribosomal RNA, 1372 nt
Filed under: uncultured bacterium
Lineage: Bacteria
Description: bacterial SSU rRNA
Rfam family: Bacterial small subunit ribosomal RNA
Source: RNAcentral
GAUGAACGCUGGCGGCGUGCCUAAUACAUGCAAGUCGAGCGAACGGACGAGAAGCUUGCUUCUCUGAUGUUAGCGGCGGACGGGUGAGUAACACGUGGAUAACCUACCUAUGAGACUGGGAUAACUUCGGGAAACCGGAGCUAAUACCGGAUAAUAUUUUGAACCGCAUGGUUCAAAAGUGAAAGACGGUCUUGCUGUCACUUAUAGAUGGAUCCGCGCUGCAUUAGCUAGUUGGUAAGGUAACGGCUUACCAAGGCAACGAUGCAUAGCCGACCUGAGAGGGUGAUUGGCCACACUGGAACUGAGACACGGUCCAGACUCCUACGGGAGGCAGCAGUAGGGAAUCUUCCGCAAUGGGCGAAAGCCUGACGGAGCAACGCCGCGUGAGUGAUGAAGGUCUUCGGAUCGUAAAACUCUGUUAUUAGGGAAGAACAUAUGUGUAAGUAACUGUGCACAUCUUGACGGUACCUAAUCAGAAAGCCACGGCUAACUACGUGCCAGCAGCCGCGGUAAUACGUAGGUGGCAAGCGUUAUCCGGAAUUAUUGGGCGUAAAGCGCGCGUAGGCGGUUUUUUAAGUCUGAUGUGAAAGCCCACGGCUCAACCGUGGAGGGUCAUUGGAAACUGGAAAACUUGAGUGCAGAAGAGGAAAGUGGAAUUCCAUGUGUAGCGGUGAAAUGCGCAGAGAUAUGGAGGAACACCAGUGGCGAAGGCGACUUUCUGGUCUGUAACUGACGCCGAUGUGCGAAAGCGUGGGGAUCAAACAGGAUUAGAUACCCUGGUAGUCCACGCCGUAAACGAUGAGUGCUAAGUGUUAGGGGGUUUCCGCCCCUUAGUGCUGCAGCUAACGCAUUAAGCACUCCGCCUGGGGAGUACGACCGCAAGGUUGAAACUCAAAGGAAUUGACGGGGACCCGCACAAGCGGUGGAGCAUGUGGUUUAAUUCGAAGCAACGCGAAGAACCUUACCAAAUCUUGACAUCCUUUGACAACUCUAGAGAUAGAGCCUUCCCCUUCGGGGGACAAAGUGACAGGUGGUGCAUGGUUGUCGUCAGCUCGUGUCGUGAGAUGUUGGGUUAAGUCCCGCAACGAGCGCAACCCUUAAGCUUAGUUGCCAUCAUUAAGUUGGGCACUCUAAGUUGACUGCCGGUGACAAACCGGAGGAAGGUGGGGAUGACGUCAAAUCAUCAUGCCCCUUAUGAUUUGGGCUACACACGUGCUACAAUGGACAAUACAAAGGGCAGCGAAACCGCGAGGUCAAGCAAAUCCCAUAAAGUUGUUCUCAGUUCGGAUUGUAGUCUGCAACUCGACUACAUGAAGCUGGAAUCGCUAGUAAUCGUAGAUCAGCAUGCUACGGUGAAUACGUUCCCGGGUCU